Long non-coding RNA from Herpailurus yagouaroundi (jaguarundi), 335 nucleotides. RefSeq lists it as uncharacterized. The record is from RefSeq and is a predicted model, not a curated record. The transcript is spliced from 2 exons. Lineage: Eukaryota; Metazoa; Chordata; Mammalia; Carnivora; Felidae.
AACUUUUGUUAUUAUUCAAAUUGAUUAAUGUUUUGUCAUUUCAGUCAGGAUGUUAUGAAACAUGGUGGAUCUCUCACAUUGACUUUAAGGACAGCAAGACCUGGGAUCCUUCUUCAACCUUCUAGCUGGUUGACUUUAGAGAACGUAGAAGAUUUUCAUUUCUACAGGCCACCACCCUUUGUUUGCAAUCAUCAUUAGCAUUUGCCAUUGGCACAUCAACAGUCCAUUACGAUUCUCAAAUUGGAGCUCACUUCACUUCCAUUUUGACCAACUCCAUGGUGGGCUGUAGGAGUCUCAUCGGCACGUUGGAAAAAAGAGUAUGUUUUUACAAAGAA